Molecule: ribosomal RNA, 265 nt
Filed under: uncultured archaeon
Lineage: Archaea
Description: partial 16S ribosomal RNA
Rfam family: Archaeal small subunit ribosomal RNA
Source: RNAcentral
AGUCACUGACAUUAGAUACCCGCGUAGUCCCAGCCGUAAACAAUGUGCGUUAGGUGUGUCGGUAACCACGUGUUACUGAUGCGCCGAAGAGAAAUCGUGAAACGCACCACCUGGGAAGUACGGUCGCAAGGCUUGAACUUAAAGGAAUUGGCGGGGGAGCACCACAACAGGUGGAGCCUGCGGUUUAAUUGGACUCAACGCCGGGAAGCUCACCGGAUAAGACAGCGGAAUGAUUGCCGGGCUGAAGACUCUGCAUGACUAGCUG